GCCUUGCUUAGCCGGCGGCUUAAUUAGUUUGGUUCAAAGGGCAAGAGCUAGCUCCCGUAUCUAAUGUAUAGCUUGAUUUUCCAUAGGUAAGCACUAUUCUAUUUGAUUAUGUAUGAUUGGGACAAAGAAUCAGUACACAGAUUACAUGAGAGUUUGCACACCCAAAAUCAUCCAGGAUACUAGACUACGAUUUCCAAUUGACAUGUUGCUCUUGAAACAAUCAGCCAAUGAUCGAUGCAAAAAGAUCAAUUCAGUUUGCAUGUAGUUUGUGCGUGUGUGCACAUGCGCCUUCACCUGACGCUAGGCAUAGGCAAUAGGCAAUAGCCUCCGUCAAAUGAAUUGUGUGAUUUGCAUAGGUAAAUGUCCAGGUGAACAACACGUCACCCUUCGUCAACAAACCACUAGCCAACACUGCGGAGACCAUGCAGGACCUCCAGGGGUACUUCUUGAAGAUCGCCGACAUCAUCGACAAGCACGCAGUUAUAAUGGUACGUACAACUUGUCAUUGUCACCUACAAUAUUACCCAAACAAAUCCAAACAAUCAUCAAUAACGUACAGAGAUUCAAUCUCUCCAAACAGAAUAUCUCUCCAGACAGCAUCCAAAACUCUUCCCAUAGUGCACAAAAAAACCUCUCUUUCCGUCAUGCAAACUGGUAAGUAGAACUUCGGAAUUGUCUUCCUCUAGCGGGCACAAGCCGUCUCCGUCGAGCAAUCAGACCACAUCAAGUCAGUACCAUCUGCACGAAAUUACAGAUUAGACCUAAUGGAUCAACAAUAAUUCAAUUAUACUCUAGGCAGUGCUCAUCUAAAAAGAUUUGACAUGUUACUUCGGAAGGUUGCUUAUGUAGAAUUCCAUAGGUGUGAGUUCCUGUCUUAAUGGUGUCACGGUCAAACUUUUUACUUAUCUAGAGAAGAUUGAUGCCAUGUAUGUUGCUUCCAAUGUAUUCACUUUAAGAUAACAUACUAUAAAAGUCUAUAAUUAUACUACAGCUAUAACAGAAACAAAUGGGAUGCAUGCUGCGAUAUAGAGAAACAUAUAUGGUGCAUCAGAUGGUUUUCAUAUUAUAAAUCAGACCUUUUAAUGGAUCAAUAAUACUUCAAUUAUUUUGUAGGCAGUUCUAAUCUAAAAAGAUUUGACAUGUUAGCUCACAAGGUUCAUUAUGUAGAAACAGAAGAAACUAUGAAGAGUAUUCGACAUUAAAUAAUGCAAUUCUAUAUGUGUGGAUUCCUAUCUUAAUGGUUGCAUGUUAAUACUUUUACUCGUCUAGAGAAAGCUGAUGCCAUGGGUGUUGGUUCCAGUGUAUCUACGCUAAGAUAAUAUACUCUAGAAGACUAGAGCCAUACUACAGCUAUAACAGAAACAAAUAGGAUUGAUUGCUGCAAUAUAGAUAAACAUAUAUAGAUGGUUUUCAUAUUUGACCAACCUCAUAUUCGAUAGUGGUCGUAAUGCCACCGGCUCCAUCUGAAACAAAAAUUCAGACCAACUAUCAAUGAAAUUGUAUUUAUUCAUCUACUAUGAUUUCAUAUAUCUUUUCCAGUUUAAAAAAUCUUCAAUUUUCUUUGUUGUCACAUAAUCACUUGAGACUUUGGGACGUAGUUAACUUAUAGACUAAUGCGAUCCAUGCAUUAGAUAAAAAAAAGUUCAAGUAUUACAUAUAUAAUGUCUCUUCAGUUUUCCUUUUCCGAAGUUUGCUAACGUAUUCUCUCUGUGUAGGGCAAUGCGAUCCAUGCUUCUAUUGGGAGAAAACUGGUCAAUAAAUUUAAAGCAAACAUGAAAGGACUUCAUCUACAUAAUUAAGACCUUCAAAGUCUAGGAGUACGAAAAAUACAGACCAUUGAAGAACAAUCUCAAAAUCAGUUUUCUUUUUGAUACAACAGCGAUUAUCAAGAUGCUAUAGCAAGACGUCGGUGGGCUGAAUACACAGACCUAUUUGUGACAGUCACGUGCAACACAGCUUGGCCGGAUAUUCAACCUAUGCUUAUGGAAGUAGGCCAAACAACAUCCGAAAGAGCUGAUAUUGUUGAUUGAGUGUUCCACAUAAAGCUCAAGGAGUUCACGAGGGACAUGAUAUGGCAGAAUGGAUAUAAUCUGCUACUCCUAGAAGUAUUGGAAUUUGGAAACAUGCAUCAACAUUUGAUGGAAAUAGAUGAAUAAUACCAAAUGUGACACUUUGAGUUAUCUGAUAUUUGAAGCUUAUUCUGUAGUACAAGCCAAUAGUGACAGCAUGUGCGUGCAUCAUUUUAGUUCAUAUGUAGGAUGCACUCGCAACUAUUUUCCUAUUAUUUUUAUCUUUGGGAAAUACUAAGACAUGGCUAAUCACGAAUACACUAAUUACUUACUAAAUUUGUUGAAUAUGAAUGGGGGCAGGGGGCCAUACACAGAUAUACACCUUCCACUAACAAGAAUUACCUUAAUCCCAUUAUAUUGGUUUACCCAUACGCAUGCAGAAAAAGGAUAGGAAACAAGAAAAAUAUUGGAGAGGCAGGAAAAGAGAGAAGUGGGGCCUGCAGGUGGAAGAAUGAGCUGCCGAAAUCAGGCUGCCACUGUCGAGGAUGAAGACGACCUGCCGAGCUUCCUAGCUCAGGGGAGACACGAUGCGAUGGAAGAAAUCCGUCAGCAUCCUCAUAAUCAAGGUGGAUCCAAA
Molecule: long non-coding RNA, 2646 nt
Filed under: Triticum aestivum (bread wheat)
Lineage: Eukaryota; Viridiplantae; Streptophyta; Magnoliopsida; Poales; Poaceae
Description: long non-coding RNA (TAES_LNC004377)
Source: RNAcentral